Molecule: ribosomal RNA, 322 nt
Filed under: uncultured Sandona
Lineage: Eukaryota; Cercozoa; Glissomonadida
Description: SSU rRNA
Rfam family: Eukaryotic small subunit ribosomal RNA (bases 110-322)
Source: RNAcentral
GAUUUCUGGCUUGAAACAUUUUGCCGGCCACGGUUUCGUGUGUUAGUGCUUGGUGUUCUGGCCAUCCUUCCAAUCGCUAUUUGUCUUUCUUCAUUGAUGGGCAAGUGGUAUUGGAUCUUUUACUUUGAAAAAAUUAGAGUGUUUCAAGCAGGCGUUAUGCUAUGAAUACAUUAGCAUGGAAUAAUAAUUUAGGACUUCGGUUCUAUUUUGUUGGUUUCUAGGACUGAAGUAAUGAUUGAUAGGGACAGUUGGGGGUGCUAGUAUUCAGCGGCCAGAGGUGAAAUUCUCGGAUUCGCUGAAGACUAACUUAUGCGAAAGCAUU